AGCCACGUUGCGGGUUUCCUAUACAUGCAGUCGAGCGAACAGACAAGGAGCUUGCUCCUUUGACGUUAGCGGCGGACGGGUGAGUAACACGUGGGUAACCUACCUAUAAGACUGGGAUAACUUCGGGAAACCGGAGCUAAUACCGGAUAAUAUUUCGAACCGCAUGGUUCGAUAGUGAAAGAUGGUUUUGCUAUCACUUAUAGAUGGACCCGCGCCGUAUUAGCUAGUUGGUAAGGUAACGGCUUACCAAGGCGACGAUACGUAGCCGACCUGAGAGGGUGAUCGGCCACACUGGAACUGAGACACGGUCCAGACUCCUACGGGAGGCAGCAGUAGGGAAUCUUCCGCAAUGGGCGAAAGCCUGACGGAGCAACGCCGCGUGAGUGAUGAAGGUCUUCGGAUCGUAAAACUCUGUUAUUAGGGAAGAACAUACGUGUAAGUAACUGUGCACGUCUUGACGGUACCUAAUCAGAAAGCCACGGCUAACUACGUGCCAGCAGCCGCGGUAAUACGUAGGUGGCAAGCGUUAUCCGGAAUUAUUGGGCGUAAAGCGCGCGUAGGCGGUUUUUUAAGUCUGAUGUGAAAGCCCACGGCUCAACCGUGGAGGGUCAUUGGAAACUGGAAAACUUGAGUGCAGAAGAGGAAAGUGGAAUUCCAUGUGUAGCGGUGAAAUGCGCAGAGAUAUGGAGGAACACCAGUGGCGAAGGCGACUUUCUGGUCUGUAACUGAC
RNAcentral lists this ribosomal RNA (730 nucleotides) under Staphylococcus haemolyticus. Its description in RNAcentral is "bacterial SSU rRNA". It matches the Rfam family "Bacterial small subunit ribosomal RNA", at positions 29 to 744 of the family's 1533-position model. The record is from RNAcentral. Lineage: Bacteria; Bacillati; Bacillota; Bacilli; Caryophanales; Staphylococcaceae.